UACGGGAGGGGCUAGCGUUAUUCAGAAUAAUUGGGCGUAAAGAGUUCGUAGACGGUGUUGUAAGUUAUAUUGUUAAAGACUAAAGCCUAACUUUAAGUUUAUCAUGUAAUACUACUCCACUAGAGUUUUUCUCAGAAGAAUAGAAUUUUAGAUAUAGAGGUAGCACUUGUAGACAUCUAGAGGAAUACCAACUUUAGCGAAAGCGAUUCUUUAGUAUAAACUGACGUUGAGGGACGAAAGUAUAGGGAGCAAACAGG
This 257-nucleotide ribosomal RNA is filed under the name uncultured bacterium. RNAcentral's name for it is "partial 16S ribosomal RNA". It matches the Rfam family "Bacterial small subunit ribosomal RNA", at positions 524 to 776 of the family's 1533-position model. The record is from RNAcentral.